GUGCCAGCCGCCGCGGUAAUACCGGCAGCCCGAGUGAUGGCCGAUCUUAUUGGGCCUAAAGCGUCCGUAGCUGGCCGGACAAGUCCGUCGGGAAAUCCACGCGCUCAACGUGUGGGCGUCCGGCGGAAACUGUUCGGCUUGGGACCGGAAGAUCCGAGGGGUACGUCCGGGGUAGGAGUGAAAUCCCGUAAUCCUGGACGGACCACCGAUGGCGAAAGCACCUCGGAAGGACGGAUCCGACAGUGAGGGACGAAAGCUAGGGUCUCGAACCGGAUUAGAAACCCGUGUAGUCC
RNAcentral lists this ribosomal RNA (293 nucleotides) under uncultured bacterium. RNAcentral describes it as "partial 16S ribosomal RNA". It matches the Rfam family "Archaeal small subunit ribosomal RNA", at positions 455 to 747 of the family's 1478-position model. The record is from RNAcentral.